UCAGAAGUGCGAAUGCUGACAUAAGUAACGAUAAAGCGGGUGAAAAGCCCGCUCGCCGGAAGACCAAGGGUUCCUGUCCAACGUUAAUCGGGGCAGGGUGAGUCGACCCCUAAGGCGAGGCCGAAAGGCGUAGUCGAUGGGAAACAGGUUAAUAUUCCUGUACUUGGUGUUACUGCGAAGGGGGGACGGAGAAGGCUAUGUUGGCCGGGCGACGGUUGUCCCGGUUUAAGCGUGUAGGCUGAUUUUCCAGGCAAAUCCGGAAAAUCAAGGCUGAGGCGUGAUGACGAGGCACUACGGUGCUGAAGCAACAAAUGCCCUGCUUCCAGGAAAAGCCUCUAAGCAUCAGGUAACAUCAAAUCGUACCCCAAACCGACACAGGUGGUCAGGUAGAGAAUACCAAGGCGCUUGAGAGAACUCGGGUGAAGGAACUAGGCAAAAUGGUGCCGUAACUUCGGGAGAAGGCACGCUGAUAUGUAGGUGAAGCGACUUGCUCGUGGAGCUGAAAUCAGUCGAAGAUACCAGCUGGCUGCAACUGUUUAUUAAAAACACAGCACUGUGCAAACACGAAAGUGGACGUAUACGGUGUGACGCCUGCCCGGUGCCGGAAGGUUAAUUGAUGGGGUUAGCGGUAACGCGAAGCUCUUGAUCGAAGCCCCGGUAAACGGCGGCCGUAACUAUAACGGUCCUAAGGUAGCGAAAUUCCUUGUCGGGUAAGUUCCGACCUGCACGAAUGGCGUAAUGAUGGCCAGGCUGUCUCCACCCGAGACUCAGUGAAAUUGAACUCGCUGUGAAGAUGCAGUGUACCCGCGGCAAGACGGAAAGACCCCGUGAACCUUUACUAUAGCUUGACACUGAACAUUGAGCCUUGAUGUGUAGGAUAGGUGGGAGGCUUUGAAGUGUGGACGCCAGUCUGCAUGGAGCCGGCCUUGAAAUACCACCCUUUAAUGUUUGAUGUUCUAACGUUGGCCCCUGAUCGGGGUUGCGGACAGUGUCUGGUGGGUAGUUUGACUGGGGCGGUCUCCUCCUAAAGAGUAACGGAGGAGCACGAAGGUUGGCUAAUCCUGGUCGGACAUCAGGAGGUUAGUGCAAUGGCAUAAGCCAGCUUGACUGCGAGCGUGACGGCGCGAGCAGGUGCGAAAGCAGGUCAUAGUGAUCCGGUGGUUCUGAAUGGAAGGGCCAUCGCUCAACGGAUAAAAGGUACUCCGGGGAUAACAGGCUGAUACCGCCCAAGAGUUCAUAUCGACGGCGGUGUUUGGCACCUCGAUGUCGGCUCAUCACAUCCUGGGGCUGAAGUAGGUCCCAAGGGUAUGGCUGUUCGCCAUUUAAAGUGGUACGCGAGCUGGGUUUAGAACGUCGUGAGACAGUUCGGUCCCUAUCUGCCGUGGGCGCUGGAGAACUGAGGGGGGCUGCUCCUAGUACGAGAGGACCGGAGUGGACGCAUCACUGGUGUUCGGGUUGUCAUGCCAAUGGCACUGCCCGGUAGCUAAAUGCGGAAGAGAUAAGUGCUGAAAGCAUCUAAGCACGAAACUUGCCCCGAGAUGAGUUCUCCCUGAGACUUAGAGUCUCCUGAAGGAACGUUGAAGACGACGACGUUGAUAGGCCGGGUGUGUAAGCGCAGCGAUGCGUUGAGCUAACCGGUACUAAUGAACCGUGAGGCUUAACCUUACAACGCCGAAG
RNAcentral lists this ribosomal RNA (1677 nucleotides) under Escherichia coli. RNAcentral's name for it is "partial 23S ribosomal RNA". It matches the Rfam family "Bacterial large subunit ribosomal RNA", at positions 1282 to 2925 of the family's 2925-position model. The record is from RNAcentral. Lineage: Bacteria; Pseudomonadati; Pseudomonadota; Gammaproteobacteria; Enterobacterales; Enterobacteriaceae.